Molecule: ribosomal RNA, 392 nt
Filed under: Aedes alternans
Lineage: Eukaryota; Metazoa; Arthropoda; Insecta; Diptera; Culicidae
Description: eukaryotic LSU rRNA
Rfam family: 5.8S ribosomal RNA (bases 1-131)
Source: RNAcentral
GCUCGUGGAUCGAUGAAGACCGCAGCUAAAUGCGCGUCAGAAUGUGAACUGCAGGACACAUGAACACCGACAAGUUGAACGCAUAUUGCACAUCGUACAACACCGUACGAUGUACACAUUUUUGAGUGCCUAUAUUUAUCUAUUCAACUAUACGUGUGCCACCCACCCGGUGCGCGCGUAUGCGUAGUGAUGUUUGCCCGCCUUCGGUGGCGGUCAAACAUUUAAGAUAGUCAAGCGUGCGACGGUCAUAGUUGCGCGAUUGAUGAAUACAUCCCACCAGACGUCCGCAUCCCGUGGCGCUAGUGUUGUAUUCCAUCAGAGGGAGAGAGAGAGACAGUAUAGCAUAUCUAGUAGGCCUCAAAUAAUGUGUGACUACCCCCUAAAUUUAAGCA